UAUAAAAUACAUAUUAUAAAUAUAAAUAUAUAUAAUAUAUAUAUUAUAUAUAAUUUUUUUUAAAAAUAAAGUUCGAUAGAAUUGAACUAGAUCGAUGAAGAAUAAAUCGAACCAAGUUUCAAAUUAGGAAAGAAUCAGUUUCAGACAGAGAUCCCGAGUUGUAAAGUUUUCUUGGAAUACAUCACGUUUUAUUCAAACGAACGAAUUGUCAAUGUAAAUAAUAUUGAAUAAUAAUAGUAAGAUUGAUACAAAAUUUUAGUUUUCUUUUUACGAAAGCAAAAAAAAAAAAAAAGAGAUCAAUUCGAAUUCAUUAUUGAGAAAAGAAGGAAUUUAAAAAAAAAAAAUUGGUAUUAUAUAUUUUCAUUUUGGAAAAAAAAAUAGAUAAAAAGUCAUUCUCAAAACCUCGGGAAAACAACGAGAAAAGAAGCCAAUAGUAAAAGAAAAAGAAAAAGAGAGAGAGAGAGAGAGAGAAAGAGAGAAUGGAAACGCAUAGAAGAGUGGAUCCGUUUAAACUUGCUCCACAAUAAUGUAUAAUAGACAAGUGUAGUUAAAAGAGAUUAAAACAAGAAAAAAAAGAAACAAAAUGAAAGAAAACAGAAACACAUUGCCUAUGCAUUAUGAGAGAGAGGGAGAGAGGAGAGAGAGAGAGAGAAGAAAACAAAAACGUUGUUUGUAAUAUCUGUACAUACAAAUUUCAAGUAAAGUAUCUUAUUUUCUUACAAACUAUAUAGCGAUGACAUUACGAAAGAAUACUUAAAAUUUUGUUGUAAUAUUAAGUAUUUAUUCAGAAUUCAUGUUGUCCCAAUAUAGUUUGCUUUAUGCACACAACUCGUCUUUUGGUGUAAUUAAAAAAAAAAAAAAAAAAGAACUAUCGUUUUUAUACAAGCUUAGGAAUAAAUGAAAUAAAAACAAAAUAAAAAAGUGCAGAACGAAAAGAAAGAGGAAAAAAUACGAGGAAAAAGGAUAAUUAGAAGGAAUACAGAAAGAAAAGAAAAAUGCGAUCUACUAAUUUUCGAUGGAGAAUGAACGAAAUUAUGGGUGAGGAUAGGAUGAGAUCAAGGAAGAGAGGCAGACGAGAAGGAAAAACCUGU
Apis dorsata (giant honeybee) is the source of this 1091-nucleotide long non-coding RNA. RefSeq lists it as uncharacterized. The transcript is spliced from 2 exons. The record is from RefSeq and is a predicted model, not a curated record. Lineage: Eukaryota; Metazoa; Arthropoda; Insecta; Hymenoptera; Apidae.